Molecule: ribosomal RNA, 498 nt
Filed under: uncultured bacterium
Lineage: Bacteria
Description: bacterial SSU rRNA
Rfam family: Bacterial small subunit ribosomal RNA
Source: RNAcentral
CUACGUGCCAGCAGCCGCGGUAAUACGGAGGGUGCGAGCGUUAAUCGGAAUAACUGGGCGUAAAGGGCACGCAGGCGGUGACUUAAGUGAGGUGUGAAAGCCCCGGGCUUAACCUGGGAAUUGCAUUUCAUACUGGGUCGCUAGAGUACUUUAGGGAGGGGUAGAAUUCCACGUGUAGCGGUGAAAUGCGUAGAGAUGUGGAGGAAUACCGAAGGCGAAGGCAGCCCCUUGGGAAUGUACUGACGCUCAUGUGCGAAAGCGUGGGGAGCAAACAGGAUUAGAUACCCUGGUAGUCCACGCUGUAAACGAUGUCGAUUUGGGGGUUGAGCUUUGAGCUUGGCGCCCGUAGCUAACGUGAUAAAUCGACCGCCUGGGGAGUACGGCCGCAAGGUUAAAACUCAAAUGAAUUGACGGGGGCCCGCACAAGCGGUGGAGCAUGUGGUUUAAUUCGAUGCAACUCGAAGAACCUUACCUACUCUUGACAUCCAGAGAACAUUC